AGAGCAAUCCAGCACAUAACUAACAGGAAAUCUAUUUGCCAGCCCUUCACGGCAAAAACAAAAGCAUGAGCGUGCUUCAGAAUUUUUAAGAUUCUUUUUAAUACAGCUACAGCUAUUUGUUUUGUUUUAGAACCUGAGCAAGUCAAACAAAAAGUAGUCGAGCCAGCUGAGAAGGAGGCUGUUGUGGGCAAGGAAGUAAAAGAAGAACCUCAUGUCUCCAAAG
Carassius auratus (goldfish) is the source of this 223-nucleotide long non-coding RNA. RefSeq lists it as uncharacterized. The record is from RefSeq and is a predicted model, not a curated record. The transcript is spliced from 3 exons. NCBI's taxonomy places the organism in Eukaryota, Metazoa, Chordata, Actinopteri, Cypriniformes, Cyprinidae.